RNAcentral lists this ribosomal RNA (460 nucleotides) under uncultured bacterium. RNAcentral's name for it is "partial 16S ribosomal RNA". It matches the Rfam family "Bacterial small subunit ribosomal RNA", at positions 338 to 795 of the family's 1533-position model. The record is from RNAcentral.
CCUACGGGUGGCAGCAGUGAGGAAUAUUGGUCAAUGGACGAAAGUCUGAACCAGCCAAGUAGCGUGAAGGAUGACUGCCCUAUGGGUUGUAAACUUCUUUUAUAAAGGAAUAAAACGAGGCACGUGUGCCUUUUUGCGUGUUCUUUAUGAAUACGGAUCGGCUAACUCCGUGCCAUCAGCCACGGUAAUAAGGAGGGUCCGAGCGUUUUCCGGAUUUAUUUGGUUUCAAGGGAGCUGUGAUGGGGUGUUAAGGCAGUUGUGAAAGUUUGCGGCUCAACCGUAAACUUGCAAUUGAAACUGGUAGUCUUGAGUACAGUUGAGGUAGGCGGAAUUCGUGGGGUAGCGGUGAAAUGCUGAGAUAUCACGAAGAACCCCGAUUGCGAAGGCAGCUUACUAAACUGUGACUGACAUUGAGGCUCGAAAGUGUGGGUAUCAAACAGGAUUAGAUACCCGUGUAGUC